This is a long non-coding RNA of Sitophilus oryzae (rice weevil), 287 nucleotides long. RefSeq lists it as uncharacterized. Lineage: Eukaryota; Metazoa; Arthropoda; Insecta; Coleoptera; Curculionidae. The transcript is spliced from 2 exons. The record is from RefSeq and is a predicted model, not a curated record.
AUAUCUUAUUUUGUUUUUCGAUGUAUGGAAAUCCGCAAGUUUUGUAUCUGAAGCCGCAAAGAAAUUUCGCUCUAUAAUGUUCUAAAUGUGAGUGCAUGUCAAAAUUUAAAUAUAUACUUGAUAUAUUAUUUCAAGUUAUAUGCUUUGACAUUUUUGGAAGUAAACAAAUAUUGAAGAAAGUGUUGUGCCUUCACAGAAUUUAAAUUGGCAUUAGGAAUAGAUUUCCCUUGAUUUAGUAAUGAUAUUGCUCAUAGAAAUUGAUAAUGUGAAGAAUAACAAUACAGGAA